AGCGCAGGUGGUUGUAUAAGUCUGAAGUAAAAGGCAGUGGCUCAACCAUUGUGUGCUUUGGAAACUGUACAACUUGAGUGCAGAAGGGGAGAGUGGAAUUCCAUGUGUAGCGGUGAAAUGCGUAGAUAUAUGGAGGAACACCGGUGGCGAAAGCGGCUCUCUGGUCUGUAACUGACACUGAGGCUCGAAAGCUGGGGAGCAAACA
RNAcentral lists this ribosomal RNA (205 nucleotides) under uncultured bacterium. RNAcentral's name for it is "partial 16S ribosomal RNA". It matches the Rfam family "Bacterial small subunit ribosomal RNA", at positions 568 to 774 of the family's 1533-position model. The record is from RNAcentral.